ACUACCCCCCACCAGCGCCGCCAGAUCACCCUAGCCCCGUAGCUCCCACCAACCACCCCACGAGCGCUCUCUGGAACACCGAGUCGUCUCCCCUCGCUCGCACCAGCCGCGACACCGUCCCCUGCCCCCCGCUCCUUCUUGCCGCGCCAGCGCUCCCUGCUCCCCUCGCCAGUCGUGCCUCCCCCACCCACCAAGAGCCACACCGCCUCAGGGCCACC
RNAcentral lists this long non-coding RNA (218 nucleotides) under Hordeum vulgare. Its description in RNAcentral is "long non-coding RNA (HVUL_LNC003654)". The record is from RNAcentral. Lineage: Eukaryota; Viridiplantae; Streptophyta; Magnoliopsida; Poales; Poaceae.